Molecule: transfer RNA, 75 nt
Filed under: Actinoplanes derwentensis
Lineage: Bacteria; Bacillati; Actinomycetota; Actinomycetes; Micromonosporales; Micromonosporaceae
Description: tRNA_Glu_CTC
Rfam family: tRNA
About the family: Transfer RNA (tRNA) molecules are approximately 80 nucleotides in length. Their secondary structure includes four short double-helical elements and three loops (D, anti-codon, and T loops).
Source: RNAcentral
GGACUCGUGGAGCAGUGGAACGCUCGUCAGCCUCUCACGCUGGAGACGCCGGUUCGAUCCCGGUCGGGUCUACGA